UGCUCAUGCCUCCCAGGAGCAUGUUCCUCAAGACUCAGCCCACAGGGUCUUUGCUAUAUAAAUAUGUGGCUGUCUGACAAGGAGAAUGAAUUUGUUGCAGAGGCAUGGCACAGAUGUAUCCCUCCACCCCAUGGCUGAUUUACAUGGAGUCACUCCCAUAUGAAGCUACAGUGAGGAAACAAGGCUGACAAAUUCUAAUCUCAUAUGUAAUGAGAUAAGCAUGUAAGACAUCCAGCAUCCAGGAGUACACAAGUUGGCUCAGAAAAAUGACCAGCUCCACAGCAAUACUCCCUCUCACAGGUGUAACUCAGCUGAUUACACCAGGGUACGACUGGAGCUAAUGCUGUCCUAAAGCAGGACCUCUGUGUCUGAAAGGAGCCCCUUCCAUUUGUUUGUUAUUAGUGUUGCAGGCUCACAGGGACUUCCCAGCUCUAUGAGUUGUUUGGAAAAGGUGUGCCAGGGUUUGCAAAACCUGAUCCCAGGACAUUUCCCCUAUCCAGAUAUGAGGAGAUUUUUACAAGCAUUUGAAAGAUGAAGAAACUCAACUCCUGGAAUCAAGGUUUGUUACUAAGAAAGCAAAGUGUCGCUGCAUGGCAGGUCUAUUUCACACUGACAUUUUUAUUUUCAAAUGGAAAUGCCCUGUGUUAGUAUGACACAGUGCCUGUUGUGAAUGAACUGGCCAAUUAGUAUGAAUCCUGUGAUCCAUUCUGAAAGCAGACUGAAUGUAUUUCUGAAUGAGUUAGUGUAGAAUAAGGUUUGUAUGGACACCUAUCUAUUUUACACUACUUUGGCAGUCCUCCAACAGCUAUCCCACACUGCUUUGCCUCCUGCUAGGCUUGGCCUGUUUACCUGCAUGCCCUUUACUGCUGUAGGGUCACAUUGACUGGAUGUUGGUUCUCUCAUUCAAACCUGGCAUGUAGCCAGGAUUAGUCCAUUUGCGGCUGUGAGGCGCAUACCUCAGCCUUGCACCAUUGUUAUUACAACAAUAUUAUAGCAGCCAUGCCUUGUGCAUCUGUCUGGAGUUGUGCAGGCGUCCUGUAUUUGCUCACCAUCUGGGAGAAGAGAGCAUAAGCCUGACAGGCUAGCAGCCACCAUAAUAAGCAGAUAUACGAUCCUCUAUCUCAGCAAAUGGCCAAGAGGGGUCACUCCCUGCACUUUGCUCAGUGCUGCAACACAGGCAAGAAGAAGUUUAGAUGCUGAGAAAGCAAAGUACAGGAACCGGAGUCCAGUGGUGCUGGGCUCAUGUACCACUGGAGCUCUUCUUUUUCUGAGAAGAUUAAAAGAAUUUUUUUCCUGGGAGGCUACGACCAAACCCAGAUUGUGGUGGACAGCUCUACUCUGAUCUCUAAGAAAUCUUCGUUAAAAUUCUUCCUAGUUCUUGGAUAUCCCAGUUCUGCAGGGCAGUCCUUCCCUACCAGUCAACACUUGUUUCCUGGUGCAGAAAAAGCUCAGCUACAAGGUGCUGCUGGAUUUCCUCUUCGGCCUCUUCCUCCUGCAACUGUGAGUUGCUCAGCAGCAUGGCAGCUGGCUUACAAAUUGAAAGCCACCCAGUGGCAAGAUCUCACAUACCCCUGCAGCACCAUCUGUGAGUGGAAGUGGUCCGCAUGGUGGCAGGGAGCAGGGUGCUGCCUGACAAAACAGUGAUGAUCCUUGGAAAGACAUCGUGGGAAUUUGUAACUUUGAUCUCGAGUCCUAGAAUCCUAGUGGCUUCUAAUAAGUGCCCCACAAAGCAUUGUGGCAAAAAGGGCCACUAGGCUUGGCAGUAAGACAAAACACUGUGAACUAUCCACCUGCUAUCCUGCACACUUCUUUCAAAAGCAGGCAUUGCUCUAUUGUACGCGCUGAUUCCAAGGGAAGUAGCUAACAGCUGUGCAUGUAGAUACACUUAUUAAGAAUAGUUAUUCUGCAAUAGUUAAUGUGCUAAUGCACAAGGGGAGUGUCUACACAUGCAUUAACAUGCAGUAAGGUUACUGUGCAGUAAAAUAAAGUGCAGUAAACUGAGCCUGGGAACAUGUAUACAUGUGUACCCUGUUGGGUGCAGAUUUGUGCCCAAUGGGAGCAGUCUGUUCCAGGGCUUUUCCAGUCCUACUCUGCCUUCUUGCACCCUUCAGAGGGAGCUCCAGGCUCCUCCAGGUGCCAGCCCAGGGGCUGGUAGGGAGCAUGGGGGCUGGUCCCAAUGUGUAUAAAGCCCGGAGAGUUGUGCCAGCUGCUGAGGCAGCUGUCUCUCGCCCUGUGCACAUGGGACUGGUCCCCAUGUGCAUGGGGCCAGGAGAGCUGUGUGGGCUGCAAAAUAGCUCCUGGUCAGCAUCUAAACAUGUGCCACUGCACAUUACCUAACGUGCUGUUUAUCUGGUACCUAUAUGUGUUGGUACUAGCAAAUGGUGCAUUAGACUAAUGUAAUGCACAGUAAGUCCAGUGCAUGUGUAGACAGUGAGGCUUUACUGAGCAUUAGAUUAGCUUAAUGUGCAGUAAAGCAUCUUGUGUAGAUGCACCCAGGGUGAAGUAGAAUCCCAUGUAGACCACUCUAAUGCUUUAAGUUUUCAAUUUUGAGCAUGAAUGUUUUGAAGAAUUCCAUCCUUUUACAGAUUUUCCCAAAUGCCUGAAACACCCAUUUGUGUUUCAGUCCCAGGCACCAUUGUUAAGACAAUAUCUGAACUUGUACCAAAGCAGAACCUUUUGUGUGUGAGCAGCGUGUGAUGCUUCGGGUUGAAUGAAUCUUCUAUUGGCCUCAUUAAUGCUCUUGUGAUUAAGUAGCUGCAGUGGGAUCCUAGGUUUAAACCUGGCUUUGAAACCGGCUUUCUGUUUGACCUUAUGUAAGACCAUCUCAUGCUACGGGUAUGCACAGUGCCUACCAUCAAACCCCUUGAACUGUCUGAUGUAAGCUAACAUGAUCUCUACCUUAUGUAUGACAGACCUACAGCAGCUACUCUAAGUUCAUGCGUAGCAAACGAAUAAAGCAACAAUUUGUGGUUGUCA
Alligator mississippiensis (American alligator) is the source of this 2976-nucleotide long non-coding RNA. RefSeq lists it as uncharacterized. The transcript is spliced from 2 exons. NCBI's taxonomy places the organism in Eukaryota, Metazoa, Chordata, Crocodylia, Alligatoridae. The record is from RefSeq and is a predicted model, not a curated record.